AGUGAACGCUGGCGGUAGGCCUAACACAUGCAAGUCGAACGGCAGCACAGUAAGAGCUUGCUCUUACGGGUGGCGAGUGGCGGACGGGUGAGGAAUACAUCGGAAUCUACUUUUUCGUGGGGGAUAACGUAGGGAAACUUACGCUAAUACCGCAUACGACCUACGGGUGAAAGCAGGGGAUCUUCGGACCUUGCGCGACUGAAUGAGCCGAUGUCGGAUUAGCUAGUUGGCGGGGUAAAGGCCCACCAAGGCGACGAUCCGUAGCUGGUCUGAGAGGAUGAGCAGCCACACUGGAACUGAGACACGGUCCAGACUCCUACGGGAGGCAGCAGUGGGGAAUAUUGGACAAUGGGCGCAAGCCUGAUCCAGCCAUACCGCGUGGGUGAAGAAGGCCUUCGGGUUGUAAAGCCCUUUUGUUGGGAAAGAAAAGCAGCAGGUUAAUACCCCGCUGUUCUGACGGUACCCAAAGAAUAAGCACCGGCUAACUUCGUG
This 492-nucleotide ribosomal RNA is filed under the name uncultured bacterium. RNAcentral describes it as "partial 16S ribosomal RNA". It matches the Rfam family "Bacterial small subunit ribosomal RNA", at positions 29 to 507 of the family's 1533-position model. The record is from RNAcentral.